Non-coding RNA from Callithrix jacchus (white-tufted-ear marmoset), 3108 nucleotides. The record is from RefSeq and is a predicted model, not a curated record. Lineage: Eukaryota; Metazoa; Chordata; Mammalia; Primates; Cebidae.
AUGUCAGAGAAAAAGCUACACUCUGGGCAAGUAGAAAGCAGCAGCCCAGACCUGCAGUUCUCCAAGGAGGCUCCCAGGACCAGCAGCAUCAGCCCAACCAGGAACCUGUAUGACAACACAGUGACUGACACAUGUGCCUUCCAGGUCCCUGGCUGGGAAGGAAGCGGGCAGACGCCGGCGGCGGCGGCGGCGGUGGCGCUGGGUGUAGCGGGCCGCGGCACCACCGUGGCGGUGCGACAGACGCUGGGCUGCGGCCUGCAGUUGGGUGGAGCGCUGCUGCUGCGCUUCACCGGCAAGCCUGGCCGGGCCUGCGGCGGGCUGGGUCCGCGGGGAGCGUCUGGGCUGGGCCGCGGGACCGGGCGCGGAGCCUCGCAGGGUCGGGCUCAGGCUCCCCAACCGCUCCGGCUUCUUCCUCCAGUUUGUGGCCGGGCUGGCGGCGCGGCUGCAGCGGCAGUUCACGGUGCGGGCCCUUGUGGCCGGGCACUCUUUCUGGCCUUGGGCUAGGGGUGGGCCUCAUCGAGGAGAAGCAGGAGGAGAGCCGGCGGGCGGCCUCGGCCUGUCAGGAGAUCCAGGCAAGUUUUACCGAGAAAAGCAAGCUAGGGUCUGAUCCGUUGGACACCAGACGCUGGCAAGGCUUUCGGCUGGAGGAGUAACUGAUAGGGCAGUCCAUUGGCAAGGGCUGCAGUGCCGCUGUGCAUGAAGCCACCACGCCUACACUGCCCCAGAACCUGGAGGUGACCAAGAGCACCAGGCUGCUUCCAGGGAGAGGCCCAGGUACCAGUGCACCUGGAGAAGAGCAGGAGCGAGCUCCGGGGGCCCCUGCCUUCCCCUUGGCCAUCAAGAUGAUGUGGAACAUCUCGGCAGGUUCCUCCAGUGUAGCCAUCUUGAACACAAUGAGCCAGGAGCUGGUCCCAGCGAGCCUAGUGGCCUUGGCCGGGGUGUAUGGAGCAGUUGCUUACAGAAAAUCCAAGAGAGGUCCCAAGCAACUAGCCCUUCACCCUAGUAUCACCAGGGUUCUCCCCGCCUUCACCUCUUCUGUGCUGCUGCUGCCAGGGGCCCUGGUCGACUACCCUGAUGUGCUGCCCCACAUCUCCACCCUGAAGGCCUGAGCCAUGGCUGGACGCUGUUCCUCGUCAUGAAGAACUAUCCCUGUACCCUGCUCCAGUACCUUCGCAUGAACACACCCAGCCCCUGCCUGGCCACCAUGAUGGUGCUGCAGCUGCUAGAAGGCGUGGACCAUCUGGUUCAACAGGGCAUUGCACACAGAGACUUGAAAUCUGACAACAUCCUCGUGGAGCUGGACCCAGAUGGCUGCCCCUGGCUGGUGAUCACAGAUUUUGGCUGCUGCCUGGUUGAUGAGAACAUCGGCCUGCAUUUGCCCUUCAGCAGCUGGUGUGUGGAUCGGGGCUGAAACGGCUGCCUGAUGGCCCUGGAGGUGUCCACAGCCCAUCCUGGCCCAGGGCAGUGAUUGACUACCGCAAGGCUGAUGCCUGGGCAGUGGGAGCCAUUGCCUAUGAAAUCUUCGGGCUUGUCGAUCCCUUCUAGAGCCAGGAUAAGGCCCACCUUGAAAGCCACAGUUAUCAAGAGGCUCAACUACCUGCACUGCUCGAGCUGGUGCCUCCAGACGCUAGACAACUGGUGAGGACACUGCUCCAGCGAGAGGCCAGCAAGAGACCAUCUGCCUGAGUAGCCGCUAAUGUGCUUCAUCUAAGCCUCUGGGGUGAACAUAUUCUACCCCUGAAGAAUCGGAAGUUAGACAAGAUGGUUGGCUGGCUCCUCUAACAGUUGGCUGCCACUUUGUUGGCCAACAGGCUCACAGCGAAGUGUUGCGUGGAAACAAAAAUGAAGAUGCUCUUUCUGGCUAACCUGGAGUGUGAAGCACUCUGCCAGGCAGCCCUCCUCCUCUACUCAUGGAGGGCAGCCCUGUGACGUCCCUGCAUGGAGCUGGUGAAUUACUAAAAGAAGAACUUGGCCGCCUCUGUGUCGUGAUGGUCUGUGAGUAGUGAGGGUGGAAGUCAGGAGACAAGAUGGUGCAGAGAGGGUUGGUUAGCCAAAGAGAAGGUCUCAGGCUUGGCAAAUGGAAGAACCUGAGUCAGAGUUCAGUCUGCAGCUGCUAAGUCUAGCUGUGCAAUUUGGGAUAAAUCUUAUAACCUGUGUGGACUUAAGUUCUCUCGCCUGUAAAACGAAGAAAUUGGUAUAAACCAGAAGUUGGCCACCUUUCAGGUUGUGACACCUGGUCAGUCUUCCUUGUGGCACAAAAGCAACCCUGAGCACGUAAUAAGUGUGGCUGGGUACCAGGAGAGCUUUAUUGAUGGACACUGAUGUUUGAUUUCCAUGUGUCACUAGUCUUUUCAACCAUUUAAAAAUGUAAGGACCAUUUUUAGCUCACAAGUCAAAUACAGGUUGCAGGCUAGAUUGGCCCACACACGUUUGCCAACCCUCUGAUCUAGAUGAAUCUGAAGAACCUAACGACUCUACAAAAAAAAAAUUUUCUAAAAGCAAACUGAUCACUAGGUCUGUUUGUGCUUCCGUGCUGAAAAAAAAAUGUGGUAAGCUUAUCCCGGUGUAGGAAGCCAAAGGAAUGCAUUCUCUUCACCAGUCAGGAAGGUAACUCAGGCUUGAUUGCAGACUUCAAAGCCCUGUCUUCAACCCUUGCCCUGUCCUCAGACGUCUGAAAAGUUAGUGGCCAAGCUGAUGUAUUAGAGGAGGCUGGACUGAGGAGGGGUAGGCCUGCAUUCACAGCAGAGAGGAUCCAGGCCAAGGCACUGGCUGUCAGUGGCAGAGUUUGGUUGUGACCUUUGCCCCUAACACGAGGAACUUGUUUGAAGGAGGCCAUGUAGCAUGUCUGUAUUUGCCACCUGGACAAAUGCAGCCAUCAGCAUGAGUCAGCACAUUCAGUUACGGGAGUGGGAAAUGUCCACGCGAGGCUUGGGAGGUGGGGGCCUCUGUGUUCCCAAGCUGUGCAUUCUGGACCAGCUACUGAAUUAAUCUCACAUAGCGAAGGUGACUGAUGAGCAGGAAGUAAGUGUGGGGAUUUAAACUUGAGAGUUUCCCUUCCGACUAGCAUCUCUUACAGGAAUUGUGAAAUAUUAAAUGCAAAUUUACAAC